This 30-nucleotide small RNA is filed under the name Bombyx mori (domestic silkworm). Its description in RNAcentral is "ovarian small RNA-35545". Lineage: Eukaryota; Metazoa; Arthropoda; Insecta; Lepidoptera; Bombycidae. The record is from RNAcentral.
UGUAUUUGCCCGCAGGAACCAGCUUCCGAG